Jaculus jaculus (lesser Egyptian jerboa) is the source of this 1875-nucleotide long non-coding RNA. RefSeq lists it as uncharacterized. NCBI's taxonomy places the organism in Eukaryota, Metazoa, Chordata, Mammalia, Rodentia, Dipodidae. The record is from RefSeq and is a predicted model, not a curated record. The transcript has 3 exons.
GGCUGCUGACUGCUUGAGAAUUUGUCCCUAAAUCCCCCGGUGGCUGGUGGCUCCGAGUGGCUCUCUGAGCUAGGGGGAAGAGGAGACCCAGGCUUCUUUUCUGAGACUGAGCAACCUUAGUCUUUGCUUAAGAAGCUGGAAGGUAACAACAAAUUGGAAAAUAACAGGUUUUGAAGGUCUAGGUUUUCUCUGGAGAGGUGAGAAUGAGCUUGUCCCCAACCCCUGGUGUCUGCACCCCAGCUCUACUCACCCCAGCCAAGCUUUCUAAAAGGCAUUUGAGUUCAACUUCAACUGAGAUAAACGACUAAAGAUUUAUCUGGCUGGGCACUCCUUGCUCAAAUGCUCUGACAACCUAUGAACCCCCCCCCAAAAAAACCCUUUUUCCUCCCCAAGCAAUGGUACCUACUGUUCUAGAGGGGUGCAAACAGAACUGUGGCCCCUCAGUGGCAAAGCAUUUGACUACAGAACCAUGGCCCCAAAAACCCAGGGCAUAAAGACACAUAAUAGAGGGGCCACUACAGUUGGGGUCAUUUUGUCCUGAGAGAGCAGAAUUGCGUUGCACCCCACCCCCAAUCCUAAAGAGAAAGAAGGACACCAGCCUCCCUCCAGCCUCACGCCAGUCCUUGCAUUGGAGCCUUUCCUGAACACAGCGGGGGCCAGCGUCUGGUAUCACGGGAAGCACCGGCCGGACAAAGCAGAAGACCCGGCUACACUGGGACCCGGGCCUUCCAGAACAAGGAGGCUGAGUUUGAAGUCCAUGGGCUGAUGCUGGCUGAAAGCAGCUGCACUUUUCCUGGGAGGAGGUGGUUGGAGGGACACCAGGGAUGGAAGCCGGCCAGGCUCCUAGAGACCAGGCAGGUCUGUGAGAGGUCCCAGGAGAAGCAAGAGCCCAGUUGCUAGGACACAGUGCAUUUGAAGAACUAACUGAAACCAAACUCCAAGUAGAACUAGCUUGGAGUGGCUCAGAUUCCAGGAAUUUCUGCUCUCCUCCAAGAGCCAGAGAAGACAACCCUGGACCCAGCUCCAGGCCUGGACUCCAAGGACCUCUUUGAUAUCACCUGUUUGGCGUCUGCCUCUCAGCUGGUCUCCAUGGCAGAAGGGGAUUCUUAACUUCAAACUGCUAGGAAGGUGUGCCUUUACCCACCACCCAGCCAGACCCUGGCUCCAAUCCCUACACCAACCCCCAGCCUUUGAGACUGAAUAGACGUCUGAGCCAAGUGCUGAGAAAGAAAGCGAAAAGAGACAGACAAGCAGUGUGCCAGGAAUUCUAGGGAGCACACAGAGGCAGAGUGUAACAGAGAAGGGACAGCCGCUUGGACAGUCGCUCUGAUGUCACCCUGGUGAACUGUGCCUGCCGAGGGGUCCUGGCUCCAAGGGUGCGCGGCAGAGCAGCCCCGCGCGUUAAGACCAUCCGUUCUGCGUUUGCAGUGGAACCCGGAUACUAAGGACCUGGAUUGGGACGCAGAGAACAAGUUUGCUUCUUCCUCCAGGAUCUCCAGCCUAGGCCCCUCACCCCUGCCACCCCAGCAUUCUCACAUUCUCCUUCCACCCUACCUCUCCAGAUACCCAUACCCGCAUCCUCACAGUGCUGGGCGCACAUCCCCCACGUAUCCCACAGCCACAGGCAGCCCGGCCUCCCUGGGACUUACCUGGGCGUUGGUGACAGAUGAUGAGGCAAUCCCAGCCCAAGUCAAGCCCGGCUCCCUCCUGCCCUUGCCCGGAAGGCCAGUGUCCAAGUGGCCACGUGUCCGCCGGGGGAAAUCUGAAGGAACAAGGGAGUCCGCCUGGUCACAGCAGCUCUCCCUCCAGGGUAUAAAUCUUGGGGGCCCGGAAAUACAAUAAAACUUCAUCGUGUUGAUGAACUUCAAACGCUUU